UACGUAGGGGGCGAGCGUUAUCCGGAUUUACUGGGUGUAAAGGGAGCGCAGACGGUCUGGUGAGUCUGGCGUGAAACCCCGCGGCCCAACCGCGGGCUUGCGCCGGAUACUGUCAGACUGGAGUGCAGGAGGGGCAGGCGGAAUUCCUGGUGUAGCGGUGAAAUGCGCAGAUAUCAGGAGGAACACCGGAGGCGAAGGCGGCCUGCUGGACUGCAACUGACGUUGAGGCUCGAAGGCGUGGGGAG
RNAcentral lists this ribosomal RNA (245 nucleotides) under uncultured Stomatobaculum sp. RNAcentral describes it as "partial 16S ribosomal RNA". It matches the Rfam family "Bacterial small subunit ribosomal RNA", at positions 524 to 768 of the family's 1533-position model. The record is from RNAcentral. Lineage: Bacteria; Bacillati; Bacillota; Clostridia; Lachnospirales; Lachnospiraceae.